UACGAAGGGGGCGAGCGUUGUUCGGAUUUACUGGGCGUAAAGGGCGCGCAGGCGGCCGCAUUUGUCAGGCGUGAAAGCCCCGGGCUUAACCUGGGAACUGCGUUUGAUACGGUGUGGCUAGAGUUCGGGAGAGGAGAGUGGAAUUCCCAGUGUAGAGGUGAAAUUCGUAGAUAUUGGGAAGAACACCAGUGGCGAAGGCGGCUCACUGGCCCGAUACUGACGCUGAGGUGCGAAAGCGUGGGGAGCAAACAGG
RNAcentral lists this ribosomal RNA (253 nucleotides) under uncultured bacterium. RNAcentral describes it as "partial 16S ribosomal RNA". It matches the Rfam family "Bacterial small subunit ribosomal RNA", at positions 524 to 776 of the family's 1533-position model. The record is from RNAcentral.